Long non-coding RNA from Aphis gossypii (cotton aphid), 453 nucleotides. RefSeq lists it as uncharacterized. The transcript is spliced from 3 exons. The record is from RefSeq and is a predicted model, not a curated record. NCBI's taxonomy places the organism in Eukaryota, Metazoa, Arthropoda, Insecta, Hemiptera, Aphididae.
CAAAUUACUUUUUAAGUCUUAUCAGCUAUGAAUCAACAACGAACACUUGUUACAAUCACGCCACCUGGUGCUACUCUAUAUUUUAAUAUUAAAUGACGGAGUAUAAAAGGAGGAACUGGUAUUCCAUUAAAGCAUAACGCAAUUUUUGUGCAAAUUUAAUCUUCAUUUUCACUUUAUUCCACGAAAACAAAUCAAAAACCAAAAAUGGGCGCUGAAAAAGUAACCAUGAACAUCGUUGUCGUCGGACAAGUCCAAUCUGCCAAGGCCAUCAAAUCGGUCGCCAAAGCUACCCCAGCCACCAGCCAGUUGAUGAACUGUUAAUUCAUGAAGUCCACAUGAAUCUCAAACUCAAAACCUCCAUAACCCAAACAGUACAUAUUUUUUUAAUUUGUUGAUAAUUAUAAUAAUAUGUGUUGCCAUUGCAAAAUAAAUCAGUCCCUUCCGUCAAUUAAA